Molecule: long non-coding RNA, 1613 nt
Organism: Tympanuchus pallidicinctus (lesser prairie-chicken)
Lineage: Eukaryota; Metazoa; Chordata; Aves; Galliformes; Phasianidae
Exons: 3
Source: RefSeq, a predicted model, not a curated record
AUAUGGUAGUGACUCUCCCUGCUGUGUGGAAGAGUGUUCCCUUUAGUUUGCUUGUAAUGCUCUGCCUGAUCAUCUCAUUCACUGUUCCCUGCUCCUCCCCUGCUGUGGGUCAUCGCACACUUCUUGACCUACCUAGAAAGAUGCAUGAUUUUAGAUUUCACCUAAUUUUCUUUGCCAGACCAGCCUAUUUUGUCUCUCCAUUCAUGGAAGAUGAUCAUCUUCUUAUCUUCAUCUGUGCCUUUUCUGAAAGGUUCUCAAGAGUAAUAUGAAGUGUGUCCUCCUCUAUAUAAAACACCUUGCUGGAAUUGCUCUGACUCACCAAACAUGCUGCAUGGUCAUACCAUUUCCUACUGAAGAUCAGCUCGUUUCUAUUUGCCCAGUCCUGCACUCCCUUCUUGCUCUGAAAUCACAGCACUGAGCACGGUGUAGUAGCUGCAGCAGCAUCAGUCAUCUCGGAGCUCCCUUGUAGGACUGUGACCCCCACAACCCCAGCUAACUACUGGCUGCCCAACUAUUCUGCAUUCACAUGAGGAAGCAGGAUGCCUGGAAAAAACUCUUUUUGGCGGUGACUGGUAUUUCCUCAUUAACGGCCAGUGGUGGUGUCCUCUGGGGGAUAUCACAGUCUGGAGGAGGAAAUGAAAGGAGGCUGGAUUAUAUCCUCUUUACCAGCAGGAUCUAGAGUCUACAGAGUUGGUGCACGGACCUUACUUUCCUCUGUAUUUCUGCAGUCUUCAUAAUGGAGGGGCAUAGGUGUGCACCACAGAGGGUGCAAAACAAAGACAAAUAUCAGUGGGUACCAGUUUUCAUAGAGGAUGGCUGGUGGAUGAUACUUAAAACCACACAAAGUGUAUUUUAGUGUGCCUUUUGCUGAACAGCUGGGUUUUCUGAUUUGAGGGAGUUUCCAAAUUUCAGCAUUUUUGUUCUGAUUCAGAAAAACUAACAGAAAGGAAAUUCCAUUGAAGAAGUCCUCCAGUGGUUGGACAAAUGUGUGGUUUGGGAAAAAUAUGAAGAUCUAUUUAAAAAUUCCUUAAUCAAUUUACUUGAUCUCACAGUGAAUUUCAUUUUAACAUUAUUUACUUUUGAUUGUUUGUUGAUGUUCUAAGCGAAGGACUUCUAAUGUUAUUACAUAUUGUAUGGAAAACUACUGGUUAUCUAGGAAAAAAUUACAGUAAUCAAAAUAUCAGGAAAUGCUCACAGUUGUUAAUGAUUAAAUAAAAAUGUUUACAUUCUAGAUGUUGGUGUCUUCACCAACAAAUGCAACAAAUUUGUUGCACUGAUCAGAGAAAAGUAAGCUUUGAGCACAUCUUUUGGGGUUUAAUUCUUAAAUUAAAAUAUGACCUAGGGGAGAGAUUAUGAAUAAUGUGAGUGCAUCUGGUGGCAGCUGUAUAGAGUUUCUGAGUAUUUGCUUGCUACUGUUCCCCCGUAGCUUAGAUGAAGUCAGAAAUUCCUAGGCCAUUUUUUAACCUGGACUUUUCAAGUAAACUCUAAACUCAAAAAAAAAAAAAAAAAAAAAAAAAAAAAUCCUCCUUAGCUUCUAAGAGGGAAAAGCAGUAGAAUGGCAAGCAGAAUAGAAUAUGAACUAAAGAACUGAUAAAAUUUGGGUAGAGGUUUGA